CGGUAAGGCCCUUUCGGGGGUACACGAGUGGCGAACGGGUGAGUAACACGUGGGUGACCUGCCCUGUACUUCGGGAUAAGCCUGGGAAACUGGGUCUAAUACCGGAUAUGACCUUCUCCUGCAUGGGGGUUGGUGGAAAGCUUUUGCGGUACAGGAUGGGCCCGCGGCCUAUCAGCUUGUUGGUGGGGUAAUGGCCUACCAAGGCGACGACGGGUAGCCGGCCUGAGAGGGCGACCGGCCACACUGGGACUGAGACACGGCCCAGACUCCUACGGGAGGCAGCAGUGGGGAAUAUUGCACAAUGGGCGAAAGCCUGAUGCAGCGACGCCGCGUGAGGGAUGACGGCCUUCGGGUUGUAAACCUCUUUCAGUAGGGACGAAGCGCAAGUGACGGUACCUACAGAAGAAGCACCGGCCAACUACGUGCCAGCAGCCGCGGUAAUACGUAGGGUGCGAGCGUUGUCCGGAUUUACUGGGCGUAAAGAGCUCGUAGGCGGUUUGUCACGUCGUCUGUGAAAACCCGAGGCUUAACCUCGGGCCUGCAGGCGAUACGGGCAGACUUGAGUACUGUAGGGGAGACUGGAAUUCCUGGUGUAGCGGUGGAAUGCGCAGAUAUCAGGAGGAACACCGGUGGCGAAGGCGGGUCUCUGGGCAGUAACUGACGCUG
RNAcentral lists this ribosomal RNA (666 nucleotides) under Tsukamurella sp. YIM 68253. RNAcentral's name for it is "bacterial SSU rRNA". It matches the Rfam family "Bacterial small subunit ribosomal RNA", at positions 67 to 748 of the family's 1533-position model. Lineage: Bacteria; Bacillati; Actinomycetota; Actinomycetes; Mycobacteriales; Tsukamurellaceae. The record is from RNAcentral.